Molecule: transfer RNA, 98 nt
Filed under: Treponema pallidum subsp. pallidum str. Mexico A
Lineage: Bacteria; Pseudomonadati; Spirochaetota; Spirochaetia; Treponematales; Treponemataceae
Description: tRNA-Cys
Source: RNAcentral
UGGUAAUCCCCUUUGCGCAAGGUCACAGCGUGCCUGGAGUAUCGGUUGGUUUACCCUUGAACGAUUGCGUCUUUUUUUGUUAGCCUGAGGGGUCCUCG